UGUGGCUCAGUGGCAGAGUGCUUGUCUAGCACACAUGAGGCCCUGGGUUCAAUCCUCAGCA
RNAcentral lists this transfer RNA (61 nucleotides) under Ictidomys tridecemlineatus (thirteen-lined ground squirrel). RNAcentral's name for it is "Spermophilus tridecemlineatus (thirteen-lined ground squirrel) tRNA". It matches the Rfam family "tRNA", at positions 6 to 65 of the family's 71-position model. Rfam says of the family: Transfer RNA (tRNA) molecules are approximately 80 nucleotides in length. Their secondary structure includes four short double-helical elements and three loops (D, anti-codon, and T loops). Further hydrogen bonds mediate the characteristic L-shaped molecular structure. tRNAs have two regions of fundamental functional importance: the anti-codon, which is responsible for specific mRNA codon recognition, and the 3' end, to which the tRNAs corresponding amino acid is attached (by aminoacyl-tRNA synthetases). tRNAs cope with the degeneracy of the genetic code in two manners: having more than one tRNA (with a specific anti-codon) for a particular amino acid; and 'wobble' base-pairing, i.e. permitting non-standard base-pairing at the 3rd anti-codon position. Lineage: Eukaryota; Metazoa; Chordata; Mammalia; Rodentia; Sciuridae. The record is from Rfam by way of RNAcentral.